This 253-nucleotide ribosomal RNA is filed under the name uncultured bacterium. RNAcentral describes it as "partial 16S ribosomal RNA". It matches the Rfam family "Bacterial small subunit ribosomal RNA", at positions 524 to 776 of the family's 1533-position model. The record is from RNAcentral.
UACGUAGGGUGCAGGCGUUAAUCGGAAUUACUGGGCGUAAAGCGUGCGUAGGCGGUUCGCUGUGUCCGAUGUGAAAGCCCCGGGCUUAACCUGGGAAUGGCAUUGGAAACUGGGGGGCUUGAGUGCGGCAGAGGGGGGUGGAAUUCCGCGUGUAGCAGUGAAAUGCGUAGAGAUGCGGAGGAACACCGAUGGCGAAGGCAGCCCCCUGGGUCGACACUGACGCUCAGGAGCGAAAGCGUGGGUAGCAAACAGG